ACGGGGGGGGCAAGCGUUGUUCGGAAUUACUGGGCGUAAAGGGCUCGUAGGCUGCCAACUAAGUCGGAUGUGAAAUCCCCAGGCUCAACCUGGGAACUGCAUCCGAUACUGGAUGGCUUGAAUCCGGGAGAGGGAUGUGGAAUUCCAGGUGUAGCGGUGAAAUGCGUAGAUAUCUGGAGGAACACCGGUGGCGAAGGCGACAUCCUGGACCGGUAUUGACGCUGAGGCGCGAAAGCCAGGGGAGCAAACGGGA
This 253-nucleotide ribosomal RNA is filed under the name uncultured prokaryote. Its description in RNAcentral is "partial 16S ribosomal RNA". It matches the Rfam family "Bacterial small subunit ribosomal RNA", at positions 525 to 777 of the family's 1533-position model. The record is from RNAcentral.